RNAcentral lists this ribosomal RNA (276 nucleotides) under Escherichia coli. RNAcentral describes it as "partial 16S ribosomal RNA". It matches the Rfam family "Bacterial small subunit ribosomal RNA", at positions 171 to 449 of the family's 1533-position model. The record is from RNAcentral. Lineage: Bacteria; Pseudomonadati; Pseudomonadota; Gammaproteobacteria; Enterobacterales; Enterobacteriaceae.
GCAUAACGUCGCAAGACCAAAGAGGGGGACCUUCGGGCCUCUUGCCAUCGGAUGUGCCCAGAUGGGAUUAGCUAGUAGGUGGGGUAACGGCUCACCUAGGCGACGAUCCCUAGCUGGUCUGAGAGGAUGACCAGCCACACUGGAACUGAGACACGGUCCAGACUCCUACGGGAGGCAGCAGUGGGGAAUAUUGCACAAUGGGCGCAAGCCUGAUGCAGCCAUGCCGCGUGUAUGAAGAAGGCCUUCGGGUUGUAAAGUACUUUCAGCGGGGAGGAA